UCCAAAUAUAUCCGUGAAAUGGCAGCGAGUUUAGGUGGUGAAUUAUCUAAGCUAGUAGUAACAUAUGGUAUAAUUGUAUUGUUUUUCGUGUGCAAAAUAUGCGAAAGCUCGAAACGCAACUCGUCUCAGAAACUUUUGCACUGGUCCUCUGCGGGUGCGACGUGGUAUGGAGGCCCAAAUGGCGCUGGAAGUGACGGAGGAGCAACGGGAACCUUGUUUCCGAAGCUCCAUUUGCUUCCAUGGUGACUGGAAUUGGGCCAUCCCUCUACAAGUCUGGCAAGGAAUGUGUAGCUUGCUACAUGAUUAAGUGUAGGAAGCAUCCAUUAUGUUCGCGUAAAAUGGUGAUAACGGACCUUUUCCGGGGAGGAGCUUGUCUAUCCGAUGCUGCACAUUUCGACCUCAGUGGAACUGCAUUUGGCGCCAUGGCGGUCCCUGGCCAACAAGACAAACUUCGUGAUGCUGGCAUGUUACAAAUCCGUUAUGCUAGGUAGCCAAUUAGAUUACUUCAGAACCGAGAACAAUAUCAGUUCGCUUAUUCAUUAAUAUCAGUUGGUAUCACAACUCAAUAUCAUUUCGGUUAUUCAUGAAUAUCAGUAGGGUUUUGUAAUAUUCAAAGUCAACCACUGAUAUGUCUUGUGAUGUCAACUGACAAUAAUAAAUCAACGAACUGAUAUAUUUCUUAGUUCUUAUUCUAAUAAUUAAAGAGAAUGGAUUGUGAUUGUGGUACUGGUAGGGGAAAAAAGUAAAGUUCAAGGUGGAAGCAGGGUCGAACCCAAACUACAUGGCGGUAGUGGUUGAGUAUGAAGAAGGGGACGGAGACCUUGGACAGGUGGAUCUAAAGCAAGCAUCGAGCUAGAAAUGAAGCAGUCAUGGGGAGCAGUAUGGAAGCUCGACCCGGGAUUCGAGCUCCAUCGUCCCCUUUCUAUUCGCCUCAUCUCUCAACAUUCACUCCAAACUCUUGUUGCUAAAAAUGCCAUUCCAAUUGGUUGGCGUGCUGGUGCAACUUAUACUACCUCCCUUGUUAACUAUCUUUAAAACUUUUAUAUCACUAUGGCUUCCGCUGCAGUUUCUUGCAUCUGGGAUGCACUUCCCUAUCAUAUCUAUUUAAUUUAUCAUCUUUGCCAACCUCACUUUCUUUUCUUUGUUUGUUUGUUUCUUUUGUCGAAGGCCAAGAGUUAAGAAUAUGAUUUGUCAAG
Salvia splendens (bonfire salvia) is the source of this 1196-nucleotide long non-coding RNA. RefSeq lists it as uncharacterized. NCBI's taxonomy places the organism in Eukaryota, Viridiplantae, Streptophyta, Magnoliopsida, Lamiales, Lamiaceae. The transcript has 3 exons. The record is from RefSeq and is a predicted model, not a curated record.